CGUUUUCGACUCCCUCCCGAAAUUUCACUUCCCCCUCCCCAAAUUUCACUUCCCUCCUUCUCCAUUUUCGACUUCCCUCCUUCUCCAUUUUCGGCUUCCGUCUUCAAUUGAAAACCUCACCAAUUAGAGAAAAGAUGUUUCAUUCACUCUCUUUUCAGUUUUUAGUUGUAAUAGAAAAAAAGGAAAGAAACUGGAGCUGAAAACAAAUUCGAUCUGUUUCGAUUCGGUGGAGGCGGCGGUGACUAUUUGAGUCAGUUCAACUCGUAGUGAGGUUACUCGGUGUGAGAUAUACUCUGGGUCGACAAAUUCUGACAAGAAUUUCAAUUCAAGCUAUUGUUUUGUACUCUGGACUUUGGCAAUGGUGUACCUGUGAAAACUUCGGUGGAGCCUAAAGUAUAUGAGGAAGGGCUUCUUGAUGCUAUUCAGCAGGAUUACUUCUCAUCUGCCUCCAUAGAGGUAGUGAAGACAGAUUAUCGAGUUUUGAAUUACCUCUUACGGAAUCAAAGGGGGUUGGGUCUGAAGGAAAGCCACUAGUCAUCAUUGAUGAUUACAUAGGCUGCAGUAAGUAGUUUCAGCAUUUGUUAAGGUGAAAGCUCAAUAUGGGAUUUUUUGAUGGAUUGCCAGUGUCUCGAGACAAGGAAGAUAUGCAGAAAUCAGAUUCUCUGGAUAGCUUAUUUGGCGACAAAGAUGCAAGUGGUGCUCUGGAAGUUUAUGCAACUUGUGGAGGACUACUUCUGAAGAGAAGAGGGAGUUGGAGCGCCUUGAAAAACUAUUAUAUAAUUCAGUUCGUCGAGCUGCAGAAGUUCAUCGCCAGGUACGGAAAUACAUCAGAGGGAUUUUAAAGCCUGGAAUGUUGAUGACUGAUUUGUGUGAGACUUUGGAGAACACAGUCCGUAAGUUAAUAUCCGAGAAUGGCCUGGAAGCAGGCAUUGCAUUCCCCACAGGAUGCUCUUUGAAUUGGUAAUCUUUUUUCAGGCUUAGUUUUCAGGCUGUGUGUCUCCUAGGCUAAUGUCACUAGUGCUUUCUUGUUCCUGUUUGUUUUGCUGAUGUUUUCCCCUUUAGUCUUUCCUGUUUGUUCCUGUUCCUAUGUGGGCAUCCAGUAAGAUUACCUUCAGUCUUUCCUAUUUCUGUGCUUCUUUUUUAGUAACAUCUAUUUUUGAUAAUGUCAAAACCUUAGAACCUAUUUCAUUGUUACCAUACGUACAUACGUUAAGUGAGGAAGUGGCGCUAGUGGGUUCCACAACCCAACCACUAUUGAUUGAAGGGGAUUUUGAGCUUUUAGAUUUUUUGCAGCCUUUUGUGCCCAAGACCACCUAGAAAGCAUUGAAUAAACAGUAAGUACAGUGCAUAAAAAUAGAAAGGGAGCCAAGAAAAAUGAAACAACGUCAAUACUUUGGUGUUAACAUUCUCAAAAUUUGAGCAACAGGGAUUAGGCAGACCAUAGAAGGGACCCUGGAAUGCCCUCUGCCAAAAAAAAAAAAACCAAAGGGGCUGUGUAUAGGAAAUGAA
Molecule: RNA transcript, 1509 nt
Organism: Rosa chinensis
Lineage: Eukaryota; Viridiplantae; Streptophyta; Magnoliopsida; Rosales; Rosaceae
Gene name: methionine aminopeptidase 2B-like
Exons: 7
Source: RefSeq, a predicted model, not a curated record